Molecule: ribosomal RNA, 1089 nt
Rfam family: Bacterial small subunit ribosomal RNA
GAUUAGUGGCGAACGGGUGAGUAACACGUGAGUAACCUGCCCUUAACUCUGGGAUAAGCCUGGGAAACUGGGUCUAAUACCGGAUAGGAGCGUCCACCGCAUGGUGGGUGUUGGAAAGAUUUAUCGGUUUUGGAUGGACUCGCGGCCUAUCAGCUUGUUGGUGAGGUAAUGGCUCACCAAGGCGACGACGGGUAGCCGGCCUGAGAGGGUGACCGGCCACACUGGGACUGAGACACGGCCCAGACUCCUACGGGAGGCAGCAGUGGGGAAUAUUGCACAAUGGGCGCAAGCCUGAUGCAGCGACGCCGCGUGAGGGAUGACGGCCUUCGGGUUGUAAACCUCUUUCAGUAGGGAAGAAGCGAAAGUGACGGUACCUGCAGAAGAAGCACCGGCUAACUACGUGCCAGCAGCCGCGGUAAUACGUAGGGUGCGAGCGUUAUCCGGAAUUAUUGGGCGUAAAGAGCUCGUAGGCGGUUUGUCGCGUCUGUCGUGAAAGUCCGGGGCUUAACCCCGGAUCUGCGGUGGGUACGGGCAGACUAGAGUGCAGUAGGGGAGACUGGAAUUCCUGGUGUAGCGGUGGAAUGCGCAGAUAUCAGGAGGAACACCGAUGGCGAAGGCAGGUCUCUGGGCUGUAACUGACGCUGAGGAGCGAAAGCAUGGGGAGCGAACAGGAUUAGAUACCCUGGUAGUCCAUGCCGUAAACGUUGGGCACUAGGUGUGGGGACCAUUCCACGGUUUCCGCGCCGCAGCUAACGCAUUAAGUGCCCCGCCUGGGGAGUACGGCCGCAAGGCUAAAACUCAAAGGAAUUGACGGGGGCCCGCACAAGCGGCGGAGCAUGCGGAUUAAUUCGAUGCAACGCGAAGAACCUUACCAAGGCUUGACAUGUUCUCGAUCGCCGUAGAGAUACGGUUUCCCCUUUGGGGCGGGUUCACAGGUGGUGCAUGGUUGUCGUCAGCUCGUGUCGUGAGAUGUUGGGUUAAGUCCCGCAACGAGCGCAACCCUCGUUCCAUGUUGCCAGCACGUCGUGGUGGGGACUCAUGGGAGACUGCCGGGGUCAACUCGGAGGAAGGUGAGGACGACGUCAAAUC